This 88-nucleotide non-coding RNA is filed under the name Candidatus Burkholderia verschuerenii. RNAcentral describes it as "Glycine riboswitch aptamer". It matches the Rfam family "Glycine riboswitch aptamer". From Rfam's summary of the family: This family represents the bacterial glycine riboswitch. Glycine riboswitches usually consist of two metabolite-binding aptamers domains with similar structures in tandem. The aptamers cooperatively bind glycine to regulate the expression of downstream genes. The record is from Rfam by way of RNAcentral. RNAcentral also lists the same sequence under 1 other name. Lineage: Bacteria; Pseudomonadati; Pseudomonadota; Betaproteobacteria; Burkholderiales; Burkholderiaceae.
UCGCGCAGUACGGGAGAGACCAUCGUUCGAUGGCGCCGACGGAGCAACCGCCCCGGAAACUCUCAGGCAAAAGGACCGUGCCGCGCGU